RNAcentral lists this ribosomal RNA (237 nucleotides) under uncultured bacterium. RNAcentral describes it as "partial 16S ribosomal RNA". It matches the Rfam family "Bacterial small subunit ribosomal RNA", at positions 15 to 235 of the family's 1533-position model. The record is from RNAcentral.
GAUCAUGGCUCAGGAUGAACGCUGGCGGCGUGCCUAACACAUGCAAGUCGAGCGAGAAAUCUUGGAAUGAAACUUCGGUGGAAUAAAGAGAUGGAAAGCGGCGGACGGGUGAGUAACGCGUAGGCAACCUGCCCUUUGCAGAGGGAUAGCCAUUGGAAACGAUGAUUAAAACCUCAUAAAACCAAGACGUCACAUGGCGAUUUGGUCAAAGAUUUAUCGGCAAAGGAUGGGCCUGCG